UCCUUGGUAGUCCAGUGGCUAAGACACUGCACUCCCUAAGCAGGGACCCUGGGUUCAAUCCCUGGUUGGGGAA
Molecule: transfer RNA, 73 nt
Filed under: Ovis aries (sheep)
Lineage: Eukaryota; Metazoa; Chordata; Mammalia; Artiodactyla; Bovidae
Rfam family: tRNA
About the family: Transfer RNA (tRNA) molecules are approximately 80 nucleotides in length. Their secondary structure includes four short double-helical elements and three loops (D, anti-codon, and T loops). Further hydrogen bonds mediate the characteristic L-shaped molecular structure. tRNAs have two regions of fundamental functional importance: the anti-codon, which is responsible for specific mRNA codon recognition, and the 3' end, to which the tRNAs corresponding amino acid is attached (by aminoacyl-tRNA synthetases). tRNAs cope with the degeneracy of the genetic code in two manners: having more than one tRNA (with a specific anti-codon) for a particular amino acid; and 'wobble' base-pairing, i.e. permitting non-standard base-pairing at the 3rd anti-codon position.
Source: Rfam by way of RNAcentral